GUGACCAAUCAGCUUCGGAGAACCCUAAUUCUAUCGUUCUUCUGCCCCUGCGCACUUGCGCGCCGCCAUCUUCCCCAAAUGUCUCCGCCGCCGCGCGCUCUCCCCAGAUCUCCCAAAGUCUUGCGCGCUCGACCGCCUCGCGUUUGCUGCUUCUCUCCCAGAUCUCAUCCAGAGCCGCGCGUCGCUGCCCGCCCAGUGCUCCUUUCCCAAAUCCAUCCCACCUCACCUCCGCUCGCCACUCACCAGAGCUGGAGACCCGGCAGCAACCGCCGGCCACCGUUUCGUGGAGCCGCGCCGCUGCCCGCCCACUACUCCUCUCCCAAAUCCACGCCUCCUCGCGUCCGCCUGCCAUUCACCGGAGCGGGAGACCGGGCAGCCCCGCCGGCCGCCGCGUCCAGGAGCCGCCGCAUCGACCCACGGGAGAGCAGGAGGCGCGCCGCCCACUGCUCGAGCUGCAAGAAAUGCGGGACCCGCAGGAGGCUGCGGGCGGCGAUAGCGCGUGAGGGACCGUGGGAGCCGGCGCGUGCCUUGUGCUCGCAUCCGUGCGGGGGACCUCCCAGGAGGCGGAUGCUGCACAGUAUGGACUAUGGAGCACAUCCAUUCGUGCGGGCGCAGAGCGCAUCGGUGGCGGCGGCCGCGAAGCCGCAUGGGCCGCAUCGAUCCCCUUGCCUUCCCGACUGCCCGAGCCCCUCGUCACGCUCCAUCUUUCAAUCUCCAUCAAGCACCAUAACCUGACUGAAGAAAUGACAGUACUUCCCAUGGCAAGCAAUCGAGCUGAAAGCCACUGUGGAGGUCUAGACUUUCCAUCUUGAAUGUUCCGCAACUCCUCAUGCUGCACACAGCAUAGCAUGUUAGGAAUUCAGGUGUGAGCAUGGAUGCCUGAUCGCAGAGGGAGGGCAUGCUUCUUUUGUCUACCAGUUCCAGCACAUUGAAUUGUGUUUCUUCUGAACUUCCUAGAGAUAAAACUAGGAUCUCCAAGAGGAUGCUUUAUAAGGUGUCUCCAAGAGGAUGCUUUAUAAGGAGUCAAGUGCUUAGCUGUGUUCCUGGUAUGUAGCUUUUUAGGUUGUGUUUAUAGGCUAGGCCUUCUCUGUAGUUGUCUUUUGGCGUUCCUGAGCGCCUUUUGGUGUUUACUGUGAUGGAAAAUUUGGCUGUAUAUGCUUCUUGUAAUUGCUGGCUUAUAUGGACCCUUUGUCUGUAGUUCUGGGGAAAGAUUGGACAAGUAAAUGUAUGGGUGAUCAAUGUCAAUGUUUGUAUGCUCAUAUUGAAUCUGUUGGCUUCAAAUGAAAAACCAUCAGUCAAGUGUGUUUGUUAUGUAUUGUUUCAAAAAAUUGGUGCUGUAUGAUCAAUGAGAGAUUAAUUAUAUUA
Long non-coding RNA from Panicum virgatum (switchgrass), 1365 nucleotides. RefSeq lists it as uncharacterized. The record is from RefSeq and is a predicted model, not a curated record. The transcript is spliced from 4 exons. NCBI's taxonomy places the organism in Eukaryota, Viridiplantae, Streptophyta, Magnoliopsida, Poales, Poaceae.